Mustela lutreola (European mink) is the source of this 5942-nucleotide long non-coding RNA. RefSeq lists it as uncharacterized. The transcript has 3 exons. Lineage: Eukaryota; Metazoa; Chordata; Mammalia; Carnivora; Mustelidae. The record is from RefSeq and is a predicted model, not a curated record.
UCUGCCGGACACUCUCGCGGGAUGUCGUUGGCCAGGGUGGCGGGGCCCGGUCUGGGGAGCGCGCUGCGCGUCUCGGGCCCUGCUUGCCACGCUCUGGAAUUUCCGCUUUGUGAGAAAGCCCACGUGGCUUCCCAGACAGGCCGAGACCACGUCCUCGCGCAGCCGCGGCCCCGAGGACGUCUUCGCAGAACACGGCGCCCCACGGGUUCCUGUCAGACUUGCUCAUCCCGUCCAGCUGAUCGGGUCUCCCAUUCACGAGUCCCGCAAGAUGACGGAGGGCCUCCCCUGUGGUCCCCGCUCACCGCGACCCGCUGUGCGUCUUAACUGUUCACGGCUUUGCUCCCUUUCUCUUGGGCUGUUUGGGUUUUCUUACGCUUCCAGAAAUCACGUACUCACAAAACACCGGGGGGGGGGGGGGUCCUUUGGAAUUCGUGUCCGUUACAAACAUCUUUAUUGCUAAGAAUACCGUCCUGUGUAUUUGACAAGGAGAAAGGUCUGUGACUCAGUGCGGUGACGGACACGGAUAAACCCGUGGCGGCGGUGCGCGUGUAUAAAUGCCCUCACCGAAGCGUCGGGUCGCCCGCCGUCCACGGUAUCCUGUCGACUCGAUCCCAAGCAAACGUGUCCCCCGGCAGCGGCCCGCAUUUCCGCACGGUGGUUUUAAUGAAUGUAAGUUUUCUUUUUUGAUCAAUCUUUUUAUACUUAAGUCCUCUCUUAUGACAAGAUCACAGAAAUAAGUAUCAGCUAUUUUCACCCAGAAAUUGCACUGUUUAUAUUUCUGCUCAAAUCUGUGUCUUCUCUUAUUUUCAUGGGUUUCAGGCUCUUGCUUUCUCUAAGUGGGACACUCGCCUCCUUAAUGUUCCUUCUUUUCUGCUGUUGAGGCCGCAUGCUGCCCUCCUGACCCCGGCCAGGCCCCGGGCGUCUGUGCCUCACGAGCCGCAGUCCUUGCCCUCGGGGAACUCGGGAGGCCUUGGAGGCGCGCGGGCCAGGCGGCCACUCACGGCGGCUGCCGGAGUCAGGGGGGUGGGGCUCUCAGGCGCUGUCCCAUAGGGUGCGGGUCAGAUGCACCCGUGUCUGCCUGCUGUGUCCGGGUUCUCGGCCACCCUCCGCAGAGGCUGGGCCUGUCUCUGGCCCCACACCCCUGCCUUGUAGACAAAGCAGUUUCCUGAAGGAAGCAUCUGGAACAAUUUCUUGCUGUGCUCCAAACGGGGUUUCCAGAAUCUUCUGGGCUUGCUGGUGGGCUCCCAGGAGGACUUUCUCAGGCAUGUGACGCUAUAGCUCGUGGUUCUCCAGUGCCUCUGAGGAGCACAAGAAGAUACUCUGUGACCCCAGGGACCACGUGGCUCUGUCGGGUUCUGUGUGUUGGAGGAGGCCUGGGAUUGGAUCUGCCCUGAAGAGCUCCUCUUUGUCCAUGGGCCUCGCAGCAGCACAGAAGCACGAGACCCCACCCCAGUCUUGGGACCCAGGUGGACACGUGACCUCCAGAGGGGGGUCAGAGUGUGGCUCAGGAAAGGACUCGUGUGGCUCUGAUACACCUGCUUCCUCACUGGCCAGCGGAGGUUUCAGAAUGCAAGUCAGCCGUGUCGGGGAACGGAGCGUGGAGCUUUCUGUCCCAGGGUCACAGACAGAAGAAACACAGCUCUGUGAGGGCACGUCCAGGAAACAGGCUGUCUGCCCUUGUCCAUUCAUGAGCGAGUGCGUGCGGGAUGAAGGAAGCAGGGCCAGGACGCGCUCGCCUGUCCCCACGGUUGGGCCAGCGUCCAUGGGCCAGCGGCCACUGUCAGUGUGUCCCACAUGCUGGGAAGGCCCUGCGAGCAGAGGCUUCUAUGUGUCCACGUGGACCCCAACUCCAGUGUCUCACGAGGGGUGGCAGCUCCGUCCUGGGGACCCACAACCAGGAGCCGGCAUGUGUCAAAGACUGGACGUGGUUUGAUGACAAGCCUGUGGACUGAGAAGCCCGAGGCUGUAGGAGAACCACUUGGACUGGGCAGGCAGCAAGAAGGGGACAGCAGAUUCCCAGUGGGACCUCUCCCCAGGAUGGGGAUGGCUCAGCGAGGUGCCCCCUGCUCGUUGGCCAUCAGGGCCCACAUCAGGAGGCCCCUCGGGAAAUGGCAGGGCUCUCAGACCUCCUUCCCAGACCCUGGGAUCCAUGCCCGGGUCAGGCUCGUCAGCCCAAAUUCCCCUCCUCCUGGAACCACAGAGCGUGACCUGACCUGACAGAAGGGAGCCCAGGAGCUCUGGGAGGCUGGGAGGACCCGUGGCCACACCUGGAUUCAGACCUCUGCCUCCGGGGCUGGGAGCCAGCUGGGUUGGUGUGGAAGGCCCCAGCCUGUGGCACUUUGUGGCAACGAGCCCAGGGGUGGUGCCGGCGGGCUUUGGACCACACAGCCCGGAUUUGCGCUGACCCACCAGCCGCCCCCGUGGGACCUCCCUGGGCCUUCACGGUGCUUUGCUGCUCCCUCCAGACCCCCCUGUGGACUCAGGGCACCCUCAGCAUGGCCUGUGGGUCUGAGGCACACAGUUCCAGGAGGGUGUACAGGGUUUCAGCGAAGAAGCCAGUGCUUGGGGUCUGCGGCGGGGGCACCGCGCCGCCUUCCCGAGGCUUUCCUCACGGCGCCCGGCCUCUUCAGCAACACCCCUCUGUCCAGCUGAGAGGGGACUGCCCCCCUGUGGGCCCCAGGUCCCAGGGAGUGGAGGGUGUCACGGGAGUGUCCCCCAGGGCUCUUCCCCUCCUCUGGGCCUCCUCAGCGGCCACGCGGGAUAGGGCCACAAGGCCCAGGAGGCCUGAGGUGGUUGGGGGCCUCUGGGACCAUGCAGGGGUCAGCCUAAGGCACCCCACCCCUUCUGAGCUCCCAGGGGGUGCUGAGGACCCAGAAGCCAAGUCAGGGAUCAGAGUCGGGGGGUCCACGGCAGCACUCCGAGGCCCUCCUGGCGAGGCCUGCAGAAGUUCUCUCCGUCCGGGAGCCUGUCCCAGCGCCUCCCCGGCCUCUCGUGAGGCCGGCUGGGGACACGGGUCGAGGCCAGCCUUCUCAGCUCCCUUGCUCGGCCUCUGCUUGUCCCCCGCUCCACAGUAUAGUCCCACGGCCCCUUGUCCCCCGCUCGCAGAAGACCUGGAGGCUGGGGAGAACCCCGCGUGUGUGCACCUACUACGUGCUAAGGCAGCGUGAAGCAGGGGAGCCCCAGCCCCUGCUGACCACAACAGGAGAGGCGUCUUCUUGCCCUGGGGCCCCCAGGCCUAAACACAGCCAUGGCCCCCUGGAGUCACCAGGCCGGCCUUCCGUGCUCUCCGGCCAGGCCACUUCUGAGCCACGGUUCUGUGGGCCGCAGCCGCCGGGCCCAGGGCAUUGGUGAGCAAGCCUGCCCGGGAUGUGGCCCUGGGCCACAUGACCACCCUCUCACCCCUGCCCAGCAACCAGGCGUGCACACGACCCCACACACCCUGUGGCGGCUGUGGUCAGGAGACUCUCUGGGCAGCGGGUGGCUCUGACUCCUUCCCAGGCUGGUGGUCUUUCUCCUGACCCCUCGGAGGACCAGGGCCCUGGAAGGGGUAGGGGUGUCCCAGGCCACCUCUGAGGGAGCAGUCCACAGCAGCAGAUGGUCACAGAGCACAGGAGCCCAGGCUGGCAUCCAUCAGCUCCCAGCAGCUCCAUUGACUGGCCCCGUGCUGGGGAGCAGGCAAGCCAGGUGGCUGACAGACGCAAAGGUUGCUGCUGAUGGAUACUGAGCUGCCAGAAUGCCACAGGGCCGCGGGACGCAGGAGCUCAGCUCACCGAAGAUCGAAUGGCUCGUCGAUCGCCGGCAGGAGCCCCCCAGGAGCUCUAGAGCUCAGAGCAGAUGCCAGACACACGCUCCCCCGGGAAGGUCAGAUCCUCGGCCUGCGGACAGCCCAGACAGGCCUGAGGGGGAGCCCCGAGGAGCCCCACGUGAUCGCUCCGGGACUGGGGUCCCGGGACACAGCCCAGCUGGAGACAGACGUGGCCCUGGGGCUGUAACCAGAGCGGUGAGGGCCAGGUCGUCCUGGAGCAGUGGCUCUCCACGGCUCUCUGGAAGGAGAGAGCAGUGUUGGGUCAUUGAGGGGGACGAGCGCACAUCAGGGGCGGCCGCAGACUGGGUGCCUCAACCCCCUUCGGCUAUGUCAGAAAGCAAAUGGGCAGGAGGGAAGCGGGAAGCUUCUGCUCACAGAUGUCCACACCCCCCAGGUCCUCGAGGCCUCUGACCACCCAGGAGGACGCUCGGGAAACACACCGGUGCGCGAACACACACAUCCACAAACACACAAGUGUCCACACACACACGGCCCUUCCGCGUGGGAGCGCAUAAACACACACAAACGCGCACACACCCUGAACAAAGCCACUCGGGCCUGUAAAAGUCCUUCAUCCUGAAGAAGAGCGAAUGGGCUCUGGGCCGCCCCGUCUGCUGAACGUCCACCUGUGGCGCAGGUCGGGGUCCUGGGGUCCUGGGGUGGAGCCUGGCCGAGCGGGGAGCAGGCUUCUCCCUCUCCCGCUCCCCCUGCUUCUGCUCCCUCGAUCUCUCUCUCACACAAAUAAACAAAAUCUAAAAAAAUUAACAAAAUUAAUGAAAAUAUAGAAUGUAACAAUCAAGAAGAAGACAGAAGACAUUCUUUACUAAAGAUGUUCUAACAGAGAAUGCGAAUGUCGACGUGUCUGCUCUGAGUUCUCGUUCAGAAUCCAGGAUCAACGUGCGGGAGAGGCAAGAGAGAAGGAACAGACCGAGUCGAGCAAGACAAGACUUUCGCAGGCGAGCGGCCGCCGCACUGACGGGGGAGCGAAGAGAUUCCGACAGAAAGGAGGCAACGGGCAGAUCCCAGCGAAACUGGACGGAAACCGGAGGCGGGGACUGUGCUUUAGAGGCGGCGGAGAACGUGCAUCCCUGCUUCCCAGCGCGGCCCCGAGCGGGCGCCCGACGGAGGACACAGCGAUGAUGGAUUUCAAUUUCAAUUUUAAAAAAUCGUAGUGAGUUUUAAAACCAAUGAUAUGUUGAAUGAAUCCAAAUAAUUGUGUUUUGUGAUAAAGCGUCAAAGACAAUUCUUAAAAAAAAAAUCACAUCACAUAAUAAUUAUAAGUGAAAAGUAUACAGCAUUAAAACGAAUCUGGACCUCUAGAAAAUCUGGUUGAUUUUCUAAGAAAAUGUGCUUUUCCAAAAUUGCCUUAAGAGGAAAUUUGAAAAAGUUUAACAGGUGAACACACAUGGAUCGAGUGUGAAAGUUCCCAGGAGAAUUUCUCCCGUAAGCGGCGGCAGCAGAACGACACAGUCUUAUGGGGGUGAACAACAGGUCCUCUCAAUGUCAUACAAGAUGAAAACUGAUAUAAAUAUAUAUGUGUAAGUGAAAAAAAUAUAUAUGUGGAAAAAGCCAUAUAUAUGUAUGUGAAUAUUUUCUCAGGGGUGCCUGGCUGGCUCAGUUGACGAAGUGUGUGACUCUUGAUCUCAGGAUCAUGAGUUCAAGCCCCAUGUUGGGCGUGGAGCCGACUUAAGAAAAGAGAUCCUCGUUAGUAUAGUGGUCGUGGCCUCAGGGUCCUGGGAUCGAGCCCCGCAUCGGGCUCUCGGCUCCGCGGGGACCCUGCUUCCCCCCGCCCCCUGCCUACUUGUGAUCCCUGUUUGUCAAAUAAAUAAAUAAAAUCUUUAAAGAAAGAAAGAAAGGAAAUCUUCCAAAUUAAUUUUAUGAAUCUAGUUUAACCCUGACACUGAAAUUUGGCAAAGACAACAUUAAAGAAAAACGAUGGUGGAGAGCCUGGGUGAGCCUCAGUUGGUUAAGUGUCCGACUCUUGAUCUUACCUCAGAUCACGAUCUCAGGGUCCUGGGAUCGGGCCCCACACCAGGCUCCAGCUUAGGAUCCUCCCUCUGCCUCUGCCUCUGCCUCUGCCCUUCACCUCAUUCUCUAAAUAAAAUAAAAUAAGGAAAAGAAAAGAAAAAAAGAAAAU